RNAcentral lists this ribosomal RNA (443 nucleotides) under uncultured bacterium. RNAcentral describes it as "partial 16S ribosomal RNA". It matches the Rfam family "Bacterial small subunit ribosomal RNA", at positions 338 to 795 of the family's 1533-position model. The record is from RNAcentral.
CCUACGGGUGGCAGCAGUGGGGAAUAUUGGGCAAUGGGCGCAAGCCUGAACCAGCAACGCCGCGUGAAGGAAGAAGGCUCUCGGGUUGUUAACCUCUUUUUUCAGGGACGUAGAAAGUGACGGUACCUGAGGUAUAAGCCACGGCUAACUACGUGCCAGCAGCCGCGGUAAUCCGUCGGAGGCGAGCGUUAUCCGGAUUUACUGGGUGUAAAGGGCGUGUAGGCGGGAAAGCAAGUCAGAUGUGAAAUCCAUGGGCUCAACCUGUGGCCUGCAUUUGACACUGUUUUUCUUGAGUACUGGAGAGGCAGGCGGAAUUCGUGGUGUAGCGGUGAAAUGCGUAGAUAUUAGGAGGAACACCGGUGGCGAAGGCAGUCUGCUGGACAGCAACUGACGCUGAGGCGCGAAAGCGUGGGGAUCAAACAGGAUUAGAUACCCGAGUAGUC